GUCCGGCGUGAGCAACAAACAGGCCUGCAACAAGUGUGAAUGAGAAGACGAGGAAGCGGCUGUCAGAGUGGCGAGACGGGUUGUGGAAACCGAAAGUGAAGUACAACAGAGUAACUGAGGAGGCGGAGCUAGAAAACGUCAUAGGAGGAGGUAAGUGAGUGUGUGGCAGAAUGGGUGAUAGGGCGACCUCUGGUGAAAUAAAAGGGUAUAAGCCCUUGAAGGCUCAGCUUGAACAGCUGAAGAGAGCUGUUCGACUGGCUAAUGCUGGAACAUUAAAAGCGGCUGAAAAAGAAUGUCAGGUUAUGGAGCUUGAGGUAAGUAAGCUCAUCACAUCUCAACAAAAGAAAUUGAGUGAUGAAAUAGCUCUGAGCUUGGUGUUUCAAGCGGAAGGAAAAGAUGUGAAGAACAACUGAAGCAACUGGAAGAGGAGUCUGUGGGUCACUCAGUGAAUAGAAAGACCAAGGCAGAAAUGAAGGACCUCAGAGAGAUGCAUGAUAAGUGCUCUAAGUGGUUGUUUUUGUGGAAUGCCGCAAAAUCUUGGAUGAAGGAGGAUGACACGGCCAGAGCGGGGGAGAUGGUGAGUAUAAUGGCCUCAGUAAAACAACUGAAAGAGGAAAAUAAGAAGUUGGAGGAGCAAAUGAGGAACUUGACCACAAAAACAGAGGAAACUGCUAGACCCUCAACACCCAAAAUAUACCCAUGGGCUGCGUUAAUGCCAAGUGCCCCACCCCCACCCUAUGUCAUGCCGGUGAUGACUUUGGAUGGAGGACAGGUGCGCGGGCCUGGAGGAAAAACAGGAACAGUCCUGGGAGGAGUGGUGAAUGUUGAAUACACUGGUGGACACAUAAGGAGACAAGAGGAAGAAGUAAGAGCAGGGGGGCAUCAGCCCUUUAGUGAAGGUGGGAGACUGGAGGCCUCAGCUGCAGAUGAAGGCCCAACCUCGCCACCAAGGGGAAUUAGGAGUGAUAGGCUGACGCCGUCCGAGAAACACCUGUUGGAUCAGCUAAGACAGGACAGACAGGAGGAGGGGAUGCACACCGGAGAGGAGGGGCGGCCCCCGAUGGAGCUGGGAGCCCGGCCCAAGCACAAGGGAUCGCCAGGUCCGCAGAGGGAAGGACAGGCCCAGAUGAGGAGAUCGGGUGGAGCAGAAAUAAUGCCCGACCGGGAACGCUGGGAAGGAGAAGUGCAUGGUCCUAUGUAUGAGGAGCCUGAGGCAUUGCUGAAGGUGUUCAAAGCAUUGGAACUGGCGAAGAGGAAAAUGCUUAAGGACUGGUCAAAGGAUAAAAUGGAGGAUGGGGUCUCCUGGAGUGAUGAAGAGGAGGAUGGCGAUGAAGAAGAAGCAGCUGAAGAGGGAGAAGUUGAGUCAGACCCAGGU
Oreochromis aureus is the source of this 1375-nucleotide long non-coding RNA. Lineage: Eukaryota; Metazoa; Chordata; Actinopteri; Cichliformes; Cichlidae. The record is from Ensembl.